GACGAACGCUGGCGGCGUGCUUAACACAUGCAAGUCGUACGGUAAGGCCCUUUCGGGGGUCCACGAGUGGCGAACGGGUGAGUAACACGUGAGUAACCUGCCCACAACUUUGGGAUAACGCUAGGAAACUGGUGCAAAUACUGGAUAUGUGCCCCUGCUGCAUGGUGGGGGUUGGAAAGCUCCGGCGGUUGUGGAUGGACUCGCGGCCUAUCAGCUUGUUGGUGGGGUAGUGGCCUACCAAGGCGGCGACGGGUAGCCGGCCUGAGAGGGUGACCGGCCACAUUUGGACUGAGGUACGGCCCAGACUCCUACGGGAGGCAGCAGUGGGGAAUAUUGCACAAGUGGCGCAAGCCUGAUGCAGCAACGCCGCGGGCGGGAUGACGGCCUUCGGGUUGGAAACCGCUUUCAGCAGGGACGAAGCUUUUUGUGACGGUACCUGCAGAAGAAGCACCGGCUAACUACGUG
Molecule: ribosomal RNA, 465 nt
Filed under: uncultured bacterium
Lineage: Bacteria
Description: partial 16S ribosomal RNA
Rfam family: Bacterial small subunit ribosomal RNA
Source: RNAcentral